This 633-nucleotide ribosomal RNA is filed under the name uncultured bacterium. Its description in RNAcentral is "bacterial SSU rRNA". The stretch from base 1 to 534 matches the Rfam family "Bacterial small subunit ribosomal RNA", at positions 338 to 873 of the family's 1533-position model. The record is from RNAcentral.
CCUACGGGAGGCAGCAGUAAGGAAUAUUGGUCAAUGGGCGCAAGCCUGAACCAGCCAUGCCGCGUGCAGGAUGACGGCCCUCUGGGUUGUAAACUGCUUUUAUACGGGAAGAACAGCAUCUACGUGUAGGUGUUUGACGGUACUGUAAGAAUAAGGACCGGCUAACUUCGUGCCAGCAGCCGCGGUAAUACGAAGGGUCCAAGCGUUAUCCGGAUUUAUUGGGUUUAAAGGGUGCGUAGGCGGUCUUUUUAAGUCAGUGGUGAAAGCCUGAUGCUCAACAUCAGAACUGCCAUUGAUACUGAAGAGCUUGAGUACAGUUGAGGUUGGCGGAAUGUGUCAUGUAGCGGUGAAAUGCUUAGAUAUGACACAGAACACCGAUUGCGAAGGCAGCUAGCUAAGCUGUUACUGACGCUGAUGCACGAAAGCGUGGGGAGCAAACAGGAUUAGAUACCCUGGUAGUCCACGCCCUAAACGUUGAUAACUCGUUGUUAGCGAUAUACUGUUAGCGACCAAGCGAAAGNAUUAUUAUCCACCGUAGGAGGUACGGUCGCGAGAGUUAGUAACGUACAAAGUAGUAAGUUAGUACGGACGUAGAGGACGUUCGACCGACGGACGACGACGAGGGGAGGUAGG